Long non-coding RNA from Anas platyrhynchos (mallard), 1269 nucleotides. RefSeq lists it as uncharacterized. Lineage: Eukaryota; Metazoa; Chordata; Aves; Anseriformes; Anatidae. The record is from RefSeq and is a predicted model, not a curated record.
UGGCCCUGCACCGACGGAGGCUGCCGCCUGUGGAAGACCCCUGCCGGAGCAGAUUCCGGGCCGGACCUGUAGCCCGUGGAGAGGAGACCACGCAGGAGCAGGUGAUCUGGCAGGAGCUGCUGAGCAGAACCACGACAAUGUCACCUCUUAAAUCUCUCUGAUAAAGAAUAUCACAACCACAGAAUGACUGAGUUGGAAGGAACCUUUUGGAGGUCAAACCCCCUGCUCAAAGCAGGGUCACUGAGAGCAGGAUGCCCAGGACUGUGUCCAAACAGCUCUUGAAUAUUUCCAAGAAUGGAAACUCCACAGUCUCUCUGGACGACCUGUUCCAGUGCUGUCACUCAUGGUAUUGCUCAUGAUUCAUUCACACAGGAAUGAAGACCCCACCAUCUGUGGUGCUGAAGAAGUGUUUAAAGUCCCAGGCUCUGGAGACACACCAUGGCAUACUGUAAACAGAGCAGGGACCAGAUCAGGACCAGAGGUACAGAGCCACAUAAACCUCACGCCUGCUUCACAGCACAGAAACAGCCAUAGAGACAUCACAGCUGCUGACCUACAGGUUGCAGGAAGGAAAGUUAGUACUAACUAUUACUCUGUGCCUUUUCACUAAGAGCAAGCAGUAGGGAAUAGUGGCAGCAUUGCUCUUUGCCAAGAGCCAGCUUGACUGCAUGGCCGGGAAUUACCUGCACCGAGAGGAAACAACUUAUUCAUCACUAACAUCAAGUACUAAAGCAAAAGAGUACCUUGACUGACUCAUGAUCCAUUUUUUAUUCUUCCCAGGAUAACAGAAUUAUGUGCUGAUUCAGAACAGCUGAUUCAGUCCUGUGUAAUCUUAGCAAUUAACCUCUGUAUUCUUAGUUGUUCAACUGUGUAUAGCUUGACAGGUAAAGUUUUGUGUUUUAUUUUGAAAAAAUAUAUCCUCAGAUGUUCAAUAUGUUUUGUGGUACAACACAAGAAGUAAAGCAGAGGUCACACUAAUUCAAAACAUGGCCUUCAAACUAAUAUUUUUUCCUAUACAUGUUCCCAGAACUCUGCUUAGAUGACUGCUCCAUGUGUAAGUAAAGCAAACCCAAAUAAACAUUAACCAGGCAUUACCUUUUCCCAUACCUCAUAUUCACAAACACAGGGAGAUAAUUUCUAAUGAACUUAUUACUUCAUUAAAAGAAACAAUGCACAGGUGAAACUAUAAAGUCAUCUCCAAUCUCCUUUCCACACAGAAAAUGUUAGCAAUUUUGAUUCAAAUAAAAAUGGAGUAUUCUGAACUCAAAA